This 2091-nucleotide long non-coding RNA is filed under the name Sarcophilus harrisii (Tasmanian devil). RNAcentral describes it as "lncRNA (ENSSHAG00000027529.1)". The record is from RNAcentral. Lineage: Eukaryota; Metazoa; Chordata; Mammalia; Dasyuromorphia; Dasyuridae.
UCUCAGAGAACACAAUCCAGGACCCUGUCUUACCACAGAUCAUUUGGACUUUUUGCUGGCCCUUUAAAAAAGGAAAAGAGAAGCUUCCCCAUUUCUGGAUCUUCUUUCCACUGGUCUUGCUUAGACACACUAGCCUACCCAGGCAUUUGACUGCCUGCCCAGACAUGUUGCCACGUUAGGAGGAAAAAGGAAAAAAUGAUGAGGAAAAUAAAUGCAGGAGUCCUUUCCCCCCAUCUGCUUUGGAUACCAGAAUAUAAAAUAACGGCAGGGUUGUUGAGAACUCUGUAUUGGAUUAAAUUAGAUGACUUUUGUUAAACAGCCCAUUUUGUACUGCUGGAGUUGGGGUUACAUGUUAGCUGCUAAUAACCAGAACAACUUCAAAUAGAGUAAUUCCCUCCCUCCCCCAAAACAAUUUUUUAAUGAAUCCUUAGGAAAACACCCUGCAUUUACCUCCUCAGUACUGUUUCUAGGGCUCAGAGGCUUUACUUUGACAACUGCAAAGGGAUUCAGGGAGUUUCACAGCUGCUUUGAGGUGGGUCCUGGCUCAGAGACAAAGACAUGCUUUAUUGGAUAGAGCAACUAGGCUGAUUGUUGGUGGUCCCUAGGAAAAAAGUGUACCUAAGGGAGCUUCUUUGGAUGGGAAUGAGACAAACUACGUGGCAAAACACAAACCACCGUAGGUGAACUAAGCAAAAAGCAUUUGUCAGCUUUUUAGGUUUUAGGAAGAUAAUGAACAGCGCCAAAGGACUAAGUUUUUGAAUUUUCCUUUUUUUUUUUUUUUUUUGCACAGAAAUAUUCUGUCUGCCUCAGUGCAAGUUUAUAUCCUGUUGACUUGCACCAUCAUAAUUACUUCAAAGAGAACCAGUGUACAGUGAAAACUUUUAAAGUAAUACCUGUUCUUUGCAAUGCCUUAGUUUAAUAUUUUGCCAUCUCUGCAGUUUGUUUACUUUUCCACCUUCCAUUGCACCUGGUGUAAACUUGACCACUUUGGUUCUGUGCUGUCCAUUCUCCUUAGUUCUGAAUUGAGAUUCCAGCAUUGCCCAGGAAAACUUCUAAUUGUACUGCCUACUAAGUAGAUUUUAUUAGAUAUAGCAUCUCACUGUACAUUCUAUAAAUCUAAUGUUUAAAAACAAAAUCUAAAUAUCCUUUCCUGCUUUCAUACUUUCAAUUUACCUGUCUCCUUCCUACUAAUGAGAAGCUACCUAGCAAGACAAAGGUAUAGUUUUCCUGCUUUCAUUCCCAGAAACAUGAGAGUAGUGAUGCAGUCAUCCUUUUCCUGUAUCCUAGCUUAAUUUUCAAGUUCUUUGCUUGCAUACCUCUGCUUCCUCCAUUUUUACGGGAGCAUGUGAGCACAGAGAAUGGAAUUUGCCAUAAAUAUGGCUUGGCUUGGCUUGGCUUGGCUUAAAAAAAGAAAAAUACAGGCUCUAUAGUUAGGUUCCGACCCCGAUGUGGGUCGGAGAUGGCAAAACUGCCUUUCCCACAGGGACCAUUUGGCUUCUUUUCAUUGCCUAUUGGCUGGAAAGGAAUCAAAUCACUUUUUUGGGGGGGUGGGAAGAGCUUUAGACAAGAGUUUUGGUUGAGCACUGUAUCUGAUAGUUUCCAUGAAAAGAAGGAAAGAAUAGAUUGGACUUCACUGGGGGAACAAUAUGUGUUUUAUUUUCAGCUUAAACUUGAAGUUUUCAAAUGAAAGGCCCAAAGCCUCACUGAGUCCUCUGCCAAACAGAGGAAGGGAAUCAAGGAGGGACAGUGUGGGAGCUAAGUUGUCAGACUACCACUGAGAGAAAAAAUUGGUAGGCAAGCCAGGAAGAGUUUGGUGGCCUUCCAUGAAUUUCUUCAGUUCUUAUCCAAAUUGCACCACUAUGGAAUCCUUUGCAGAAUGGUACUCAUUUAUAAUAUGGGACUUUUAAGACAAUAGAUAUAUAAUUGAUGUGCAGGAUAUCAAUCUUUUUUUUGCUUUAUUUUAUAAACACAUGUAUCCUGUACAUUGCAGUGGGUGUGAAGAUAGUAUUUUAAUAUUUGUACAAAGUUUAAUUUAAUUUUAAUUGUUCUAUGUAUAUAACUGCAUUUCUAAAUAAUAAUAAUAAAAGCAAG